GCAAACUUGGUCAUUUAGAGGAAGUAAAAGUCGUAACAAGGUUUCCGUAGGUGAACCUGCGGAAGGAUCAUUAUCGAUAUGAUAACAAUCAUUAUAAACCAUGUGUGCAGUUAUUGAGAAAUUGAAAAGAAGGGGAAGUUUCCCCUCCCUUUAUUUUCACAUAUUAUAUUUGUCGUUGUAAUAUUUUAAAAUAAAAACGAAAAAAACUUUUAACAACGGAUCUCUUGGCUCUCGCAUCGAUGAAGAACGCAGC
RNAcentral lists this unclassified non-coding RNA (253 nucleotides) under uncultured fungus. RNAcentral's name for it is "partial contains small subunit ribosomal RNA, internal transcribed spacer 1, and 5.8S ribosomal RNA". The stretch from base 1 to 73 matches the Rfam family "Eukaryotic small subunit ribosomal RNA", at positions 1759 to 1831 of the family's 1831-position model. The record is from RNAcentral. Lineage: Eukaryota; Fungi.